UACGUAGGGGGCUAGCGUUGUCCGGAUUUAUUGGGCGUAAAGAGCGUGUAGGCGGCCAGGUAGGUCUGGUGUGAAAACUCGAGGCUCAACCUCGAGACGCCGGUGGAAACCAUCAGACUAGAGUCCGGAAGAGGAGAGUGGAAUUCCUGGUGUAGCGGUGAAAUGCGCAGAUAUCAGGAAGAACACCCGUGGCUAAGGCGGCUCUCUAGUACGGUACUGACGCUGAGACGCGAAAGCGUGGGGAGCGAACAGG
Molecule: ribosomal RNA, 253 nt
Filed under: uncultured bacterium
Lineage: Bacteria
Description: partial 16S ribosomal RNA
Rfam family: Bacterial small subunit ribosomal RNA
Source: RNAcentral